RNAcentral lists this long non-coding RNA (916 nucleotides) under Panax ginseng (ginseng). Its description in RNAcentral is "long non-coding RNA (PGIN_LNC003507)". Lineage: Eukaryota; Viridiplantae; Streptophyta; Magnoliopsida; Apiales; Araliaceae. The record is from RNAcentral.
AGAGAACAAUAUUAAAGUAUGCAUUUUGUAUCCUCCAAAACAUACGUUCUGAGCUUGCUUUGUCAAAAUAUUUUAACGCUCCAAAUUGAUUGUUCAAAUCUACCAAAGGAACAAGUACAUAUUACACUUUACAAUGUUUCUUCCUCUAUUAAAGUAUGCAUUUUGUAUCCUCCAAAACAGGUUUGUCUAACUAAUGUACAUUGUGUAUGCCUUCAAAACUUGAAACAAAAAACUACAGAUGAGCUAUCUCAACUUCCUCAACCUGAAAGAGAAAAACCAUUGAAACAGAGAGCUUGUGUCAGCAUCAUUAAUCAAGUCCCGUCUGUUUACAUCAAGCAUCUUCAACAUCAUCCGAUUCCUAGCUUACAUUACACAAUCAGUUUGUGUACUGCAACAAGGAAAUUCCUGCAAACUGAGUCAAAGCUAAAGUCACAUUUUUUUCAACACAGAAAAGAAUGAAAAUUACAAGUGCAACUGUAUUGACAACAUGCUCUAUAUAUACUCUGCCUCAACCUGUAGUGUAAAACCCAUCUGUUUAAACCCAUCACCAGCAACAAUAUUAAACCCAUCUGUUUCAACUCACAUUAACAAACAAAUAAGUGGUAUAUUACUAUGAAUAAAUGUUUCUUAGUAGCAUUUCAAACUGUCAGGAAGAUUGAACACGAUAUUAAAAACUACCUGACUUGGAACUGAUCCCAUGAUUAGUGCAAUUCUGAAGGACACUCUGUAGAAAAAAAAUUCCAAGGUAAUACAAAGAUAUAGAUAUACAAGACAUGUCAUAGAAAUCUCAGUUCCACCUGUGGGUGAAUCACAUUCAGCAUCUACACUUGGAUCCUGAGUAGAACAAUCUAAUGUAAAACACAUCCACUGUAAGUAGUAAACUAGGAAUAAGCAAUUUAGAAUCGCGAGCCCUUAC